RNAcentral lists this long non-coding RNA (242 nucleotides) under Populus trichocarpa (black cottonwood). RNAcentral's name for it is "long non-coding RNA (PTRI_LNC003764)". The record is from RNAcentral. Lineage: Eukaryota; Viridiplantae; Streptophyta; Magnoliopsida; Malpighiales; Salicaceae.
CCCUCCAUUAUCUGGUUGUAUUUUAUUUAUUUAAUAUAAUUAUUCUCUUAUUUUGAUGUUGCAGGUCUUUCUCAUUCCCGUCAGGAGUAGUGUCCUAGGUGUCUAGUUCUUUUGUAUGAAUUAGGGAAUUAGCAUUUCCAAUUCUUUUGUAUGACUUAGGGUUAGCAUUCUUAUUUCUUCUGUGUGAACCUGGGAUGAAAUGGAUGUUGUUGUAUUUUCUUUAGAUAAUUAUAUGACAGGAA